This is a non-coding RNA of Pantherophis guttatus, 599 nucleotides long. The record is from RefSeq and is a predicted model, not a curated record. NCBI's taxonomy places the organism in Eukaryota, Metazoa, Chordata, Lepidosauria, Squamata, Colubridae.
AUCCUCUGGUCCCAGUGACUGACCCAGAUUCGAUCCUGCAACAUUAUCCUAGGACAGAGGGAAACUGAGCUAGCAUUUAAGAUAUCUUCUCAUACUCACAAAUGCUUCUCAUAACCCCUUCAUCAAUCCACUUUCAGAAUUUCAUGAAAGUAUCUCCUAAUGCUGACUAUCAAGCUGAAAGACCAAGUCACACUUGUCCAAAUGUGCUGAAAUUUCAUUUCCAGCUCUUUCCAUUAUGUGCUAAGAUUGAGAAUAUUAGGACUACUGUACUAUAUCUGGAUUGCAGAAAUCAGGAUGACCAGUUGAAGGAAGCCAAGAAAUGCAGACAAUUCAUUGCUGCCAAUUCCAAUUUUUGUGAUUCAGUUGUGGUAAUCCAGGGGUUGUGAUAUCUACAUGAUCACUUAGAAAUAAUCACUCAAAAACAAUCAGGCAUAGAGGAAAUUGAUCUCAAAAAUCAGUAUAGCUUAGGCUCUAUAAAUACAUGCUUUUCUCAGUGCGUUUUUCAUCAUUAACAUUCAUAAGUAUAUAUCAACACAAGGUUACAGUUGUAUCACAAGUCAAAAAAUAUAUCACAUACCUUGAGUACUUUUCAUUUAAUA